Molecule: unclassified non-coding RNA, 425 nt
Filed under: soil metagenome
Description: partial contains 5.8S ribosomal RNA, internal transcribed spacer 2, and large subunit ribosomal RNA
Rfam family: 5.8S ribosomal RNA (bases 1-120)
Source: RNAcentral
GAUGAAGAACGUAGCGAAAUGCGAUAAGUAGUGUGAAUUGCAGAAUUCCGUGAAUCAUCGAAUCUUUGAACGCACAUUGCGCCUUCUGGUAUUCCGGAAGGCAUGCCUGUUCGAGAGUCAUUAACAACCGUUUCGAUCCCUUUCUUUCAGAAAUUACAAAGAGGGAAAGGGUUUGGUUAUGGUGGAGGAGGGAAAGGGAGCGUUUAGCCUGUAAAAAAAGAGGCUGUGUUCCGCCUCCCCCCCAAAAUUGUACAGGCGGUCGUGUGCGCCCACGCAUCGAGGUGUUGUAAAAGCUGCCACGGCACUUUUCACCUGUGCAGUGCGAGAUUGGCCAGCCGGUUUAAAAACCCCUCCAAACAAUCAAAGGUUGACCUCGGAUCAGGUAGGGAUACCCGCUGAACUUAAGCAUAUCAAUAAGCGGAGGA